Molecule: long non-coding RNA, 300 nt
Filed under: Phoenix dactylifera (date palm)
Lineage: Eukaryota; Viridiplantae; Streptophyta; Magnoliopsida; Arecales; Arecaceae
Description: long non-coding RNA (PDAC_LNC019379)
Source: RNAcentral
GAGUUUUAAAUUGCAGGUCAGUGCUUCCCUUGCAUUUGUUAUUCAUGAAUCAGCAAAUCCUUACAUCGGUAAGUAUGCUUCUUGAUUUGGAUUACCAAAUUGAGAGUUUGUAUUUUUGCAAUGCAGCAUUAUCAACAUAAGUCUGGUUAUUGACUUCAUGGUAGCAUUUGGGUGGCAAUUUUGUAAUUUAUGAUCAUAACUUUAUUUUAAUGUAGUACUGAACAUUGUGUUCAUAAUUCAUCCUAUGUUCCAUUUUCUCCAGUAGCUAAAGUUGCAUCACAAGGAGCUGAAGCUAAAUGU